Long non-coding RNA from Grammomys surdaster, 387 nucleotides. RefSeq lists it as uncharacterized. The transcript is spliced from 3 exons. NCBI's taxonomy places the organism in Eukaryota, Metazoa, Chordata, Mammalia, Rodentia, Muridae. The record is from RefSeq and is a predicted model, not a curated record.
ACUACAGUCCGGGUUCCUGCAGUGUGGUCUCCCAGGCUGACUUCUCGGUUGCAUUUCAUUCGGAUGAUGGAUGGCCCUCGGAUCUGUCCUUCUACACUCAGGGACUCAUUGCUCAGACUGAGGACCAACAGCUUUCCAGGAAUCCUCAAGACCUUCACUGCCAGAGAUACCGCUGCUGAGACAUUCAGCCUCCUGAUGUGAGAAGUUAGCAGAUUCUCAGCUUAUCCAGUGUGAGUCAGCAUUGUUGGACUGCCAGAAGCAUAUUGUGAGGAGAUGAGAGCCUAUGCGACACCUAUGGGAGAUAUCUAAUCUGUAAGGGUUGAUGGAUGCAGACCCGGAACCCACCUGCCUCCCUACAAGACCGGAGCUAAGUUUGUUGUUAGACCA